Molecule: ribosomal RNA, 382 nt
Filed under: uncultured eukaryote
Lineage: Eukaryota
Description: partial 18S ribosomal RNA
Rfam family: Eukaryotic small subunit ribosomal RNA
Source: RNAcentral
CAAUAGCGUAUAUUAAAGUUGUUGCAGUUAAAAAGCUCGUAGUUGGAUUUCUGGUUGAAGCGACCGGUCGGGCGUUGAUUCGUCUGCACUGGAGUCGGUUUUGGCCAUCCUCUAGGAAAGUGCGUCUGGUAUUAAGUUAUCGGGCGUAUGAUCCUGGUCUUUUACUGUGAAAAAAUUAGAGUGUUUAAAGCAGGCCUUCGCCUUGAAUACAUUAGCAUGGAAUAAUAAGAUAGGACUUUGGUCUAUUUUGUUGGUUUGCAGACCGAAGUAAUGAUUAAUAGGGAUAGUUGGGGGUAUCUAUAUUCCGAUGUCAGAGGUGAAAUUCUUAGAUUUUCGGAAGAUAAACUUAUGCGAAAGCAUUUACCAAGGAUGUUUUCAUUAA